UUAAAGUUUUAAUCUAGCUUAAAAAAUUAAUAAUAUGUUUUUUUUACAUGUAAAUUUUUGUAUUUAUUUAUAUAAUUUUAGAUAAAUUAUAUAUUUUAUAAUUCGCAGUGAUUAAUUUUAUAAAUUAAGGAAAUUUUGAUUUAGAAAUCUAUUAUAGUAUUGACAAAAUUUGUGCCAGCAGUUGCGGUUAUACAAAUAAUACAAUUAAUUUAUAUUAGCAAAUAGUUAAUUAUUAUUAUAAAAAUUAUACUUUUAAAUUUAUUAAGUGAAAUUUUAAAUUUAAUUAAAUUUUUUAAAAAUUUUAUGAAGCUAUUAAAUUUUUAUUUAAACUAGGAUUAGAUACCCUAUUAUUUUAAAUGUAAAUAAAAAUUCUAAAUUAGUAUUAGUUAUAUUCUUUAAAGUUAAAGAUUUUGGCGGUAUUUUAGUCUUUUCAGAGGAACCUGUUCUAUAAUCGAUAAUCCACGAUUAAUUUUAUUUGUUUUAAUUAAUUUGUAUAUCGUCGUAGUUUGAAUAUUUUAUAAGAAUUUAAAUAUUCAUAAUUUUUUAUAAAAAAAGAAAUCAGAUCAAGGUGCAGUUUAUAGACAAGCAGUAAUGGGUUACAAUAAUAUUAUUUAUAUGGUGUAAAAUUUGAAAUAAUUUUACUAAAGUGGAUUUGAAAGUAAUAUAUUUUAUUUUAAAUAUAUGAUUUAAGCUCUAAAAUAUGCACAUAUCGCCCGUCGCUCUCGUUUAAAAUGAGAUAAGUCGUAACAAAGUAGUUGUACUGGAAAGUGUAUCUAGAAUUAA
Molecule: non-coding RNA, 783 nt
Filed under: Anthobium melanocephalum
Lineage: Eukaryota; Metazoa; Arthropoda; Insecta; Coleoptera; Staphylinidae
Source: RNAcentral